Molecule: ribosomal RNA, 301 nt
Filed under: uncultured bacterium
Lineage: Bacteria
Description: partial 16S ribosomal RNA
Rfam family: Bacterial small subunit ribosomal RNA
Source: RNAcentral
CAGUAGCCGCGGGAAAACGUAGGGUGCAAGCGUUAAUCGGAAUUACUGGGCGUAAAGCGUGCGCAGGCGGUUAUAUAAGACAGAUGUGAAAUCCCCGGGCUCAACCUGGGAACUGCAUUUGUGACUGCAUGACUAGAGUACGGCAGAGGGGGAUGGAAUUCCGCGUGUAGCAGUGAAAUGCGUAGAUAUGCGGAGGAACACCGAUGGCGAAGGCAAUCCCCUGGGCCUGUACUGACGCUCAUGCACGAAAGCGUGGGGAGCAAACAGGAUUAGAUACCCGAGUAGUCCCUGUCUCUUAUAC